This 253-nucleotide ribosomal RNA is filed under the name uncultured bacterium. Its description in RNAcentral is "partial 16S ribosomal RNA". It matches the Rfam family "Bacterial small subunit ribosomal RNA", at positions 524 to 776 of the family's 1533-position model. The record is from RNAcentral.
UACGGAGGGUCCAAGCGUUGUCCGGAAUCACUGGGCGUAAAGGGUGUGCAGGUGGGGCAGCAAGUCAGAGGUGAAAGCCCGCGGCUUAACCGCGGAAGUGCCUUUGAAACUGCUGCUCUUGAGUCCCGGAGAGGUUGCCGGAAUUCGUGGUGUAGCGGUGAAAUGCGUAGAUAUCACGAGGAACACCAGAGGCGAAAGCGGGCAACUGGACGGGUACUGACGCUGAGGGACGAAAGCGUAGGUAGCGAACAGG